RNAcentral lists this long non-coding RNA (200 nucleotides) under Serinus canaria (Common canary). RNAcentral's name for it is "lncRNA (ENSSCAG00000007455.1)". The record is from RNAcentral. Lineage: Eukaryota; Metazoa; Chordata; Aves; Passeriformes; Fringillidae.
CUUUGGUUGGCAGCAAAGCAGAGACCAUGUCUUAGCUCUCUUAAGAUCUGAAAUAGAAAAAAUAACUCAGUGAUGAAAUGUGUGGCAAGGGAGGGAUCCUUGAGGAACACACAGACUUAUAUGGGAAGAAAAUGAAGAAUGCCACAGCAGGUCACAGUAACGUUGAAGAAAAGGGAGAUAACAGAGUAAUCCAGUCCCAG